GACAGAGGGUGCAAACGUUGUUCGGAAUUACUGGGCGUAAAGCGCGUGUAGGCGGCCCUGCAAGUCGUAUGUGAAAUCCCACGGCUCAACCGUGGAAGUGCAUUCGAAACUGCAGGGCUAGAGUCCUGGAGAGGAAGGUGGAAUGCUUGGUGUAGAGGUGAAAUUCGUAGAUAUCAAGCGGAACACCGGUGGCGAAGGCGGCCUUCUGGACAGUGACUGACGCUGAGACGCGAAAGCGUGGGGAGCAAACAGG
This 253-nucleotide ribosomal RNA is filed under the name uncultured bacterium. RNAcentral's name for it is "partial 16S ribosomal RNA". It matches the Rfam family "Bacterial small subunit ribosomal RNA", at positions 524 to 776 of the family's 1533-position model. The record is from RNAcentral.